AGGCGAUUAGCUCAGUGGUAGAGCACCUCCAAUACAUGGAGGGGGUCGAAGGUUCAAAUCCUCUCAUCGCCUACCA
Molecule: transfer RNA, 76 nt
Filed under: Bacteroidales bacterium
Lineage: Bacteria; Pseudomonadati; Bacteroidota; Bacteroidia; Bacteroidales
Also listed under: 2 other names
Description: tRNA-Val
Rfam family: tRNA
About the family: Transfer RNA (tRNA) molecules are approximately 80 nucleotides in length. Their secondary structure includes four short double-helical elements and three loops (D, anti-codon, and T loops).
Source: RNAcentral